Ictalurus punctatus (channel catfish) is the source of this 1226-nucleotide long non-coding RNA. The record is from Ensembl. Lineage: Eukaryota; Metazoa; Chordata; Actinopteri; Siluriformes; Ictaluridae.
GUUCAGGUAUAUGCCUGAUCUUAAAAAAAAAUACCACUUUGCCUAAAAAAAAAGUUAUCUUCCCAAGAUCGAUCAUUUAAUUAGUGAUUUAAUUUACUUUAAACAUGGAGCUCUGCGGGUUACAGUCCUCCAGUAACGGACACACACAUGUGCAGGAAUGGCAUCAUGAAACAUCUGCAGGAUUUUUACCCCCGAAACGCAAAAGAUCUGAUUUAACAAACAUGACUGGAGACAGAUGUGACAGUUCAUCUGCUUUUCCUGCUAAAGAAACAGCCAAAAAUCACAGCCGUUUUGUGCGGAUCGACGGUCAGAGAGGUGUGUAUUACUCCGAGAGCUUUGAACCGAACGGAAGCACCCUGUACCUCCCUGUCUGCGGAACCGUGCUCGCCAACAUGCACAAAUACGAACAGAUCAGCUUCGAGCAAGGCUGCUUCUGCGUCGGCGACGAAACCGGAGGCUUCCGGCAAAGAGUGCAAGGUCAGGCUCUUCACUGCUGGAGAUACAGGAAAGACGUCAGGAAGCUCUUCAUCGCCCUGUCGUACUUCUUCACGAACUGUGAUGUAUUUCAGGAGGUUCUGAGCUCUCUCGAGUGUUUGUAAAGAGGACACACACACACACACACACACACACACACACACACACACACAGAACAUAUCUCCUAAUUGACUAUGUUUCAUUUUUGGCUGCUCUAAAUGUUGAACAAAAUCACAUUUGUCGUUUAUCUGGUUUCUGAUCUUCUCUUUUUCUUUCUUUUUUUUUUAUAUAGACCAGUAUUUUAGAGAACUCCCUGUUGUGUAUGUGGAUUGUAGAAUAAAGUGCGGGGGGGGCAAAACUUUUGCAGUGUCCCUUGUGACACUUUCCGUUGCAUCUUACUGUUAUAUAAAACUUUAAGACACAACUUCUGCACAGUAUAUCCUGAUAGAAUUGUAAUUAAUCGUAUUUUUAUGUUUAUUAUCUGCAAAGUGAACCUUGUGAGAUUUUGGGGUCUGUGGUAUUGUUUAUAACGGGCCUCUGUGAUCAUCUGUUAUUUUAUUUUUUACCCUUUUUUUUUAUUGUGUAUUUUUUUAAAUAAAAAAAAGUGUAUUAACACAAAUGUAACGUCUAUGAAUCUAAUUCUUAUUAAAAACAACAACAACAAGAUUUAUUUAUAUAUAUAUAUAUAUAUAUUUGUUACUAAUUUGAUUCUGUUUAAUUUCUAUUCUGUUAUCCAAAUUUCACUAAUUACG